GAAGGUAACAGUGAAGUACUCCUGAGACCCAAAACAACUGAAGAGGUCUCUCAGAUUCUUAGGUACUGUAAAUGAGCGGAAUCUGGAGGUGUGUCCACAGGGAGGAAACAGGUCUGGUUGGAGGAAGUGUCCCUGUUUUUGAUGAGAUCAUCCUUUCCACUUCUUUAAUGAACUUAAUGAGUCAUCACAUUCGACAACAUCUCAGGUAUCCUCACUUGUCAGGCAGGCUGUGUGUUGGAGAACCUGUCUAACUAUCUAGAGGAAAGAGACAUCAUCAUACCGCUGGAUUUAGGGUUGAAGGGAAGCUGCCAUAUU
Sinocyclocheilus anshuiensis is the source of this 315-nucleotide long non-coding RNA. RefSeq lists it as uncharacterized. NCBI's taxonomy places the organism in Eukaryota, Metazoa, Chordata, Actinopteri, Cypriniformes, Cyprinidae. The transcript has 3 exons. The record is from RefSeq and is a predicted model, not a curated record.